ACUGAGUGGCGGACGGGUGAGUAACGCGUGGGUAACCUGCCUCAUACAGGGGGAUAACAGUUAGAAAUGACUGCUAAUACCGCAUAAGACCACAGUACCGUAUGGUACAGGGGUAAAAACUCCGGUGGUAUGAGAUGGACCCGCGUCUGAUUAGGUAGUUGGUGGGGUAACGGCCUACCAAGCCGACGAUCAGUAGCCGACCUGAGAGGGUGACCGGCCACAUUGGGACUGAGACACGGCCCAA
RNAcentral lists this ribosomal RNA (244 nucleotides) under uncultured bacterium. Its description in RNAcentral is "partial 16S ribosomal RNA". It matches the Rfam family "Bacterial small subunit ribosomal RNA", at positions 90 to 334 of the family's 1533-position model. The record is from RNAcentral.